RNAcentral lists this non-coding RNA (85 nucleotides) under Blautia faecis. Its description in RNAcentral is "Cyclic di-GMP-I riboswitch". It matches the Rfam family "c-di-GMP-I riboswitch aptamer". From Rfam's summary of the family: GEMM was predicted in a large-scale screen for bacterial structured RNA regulatory elements. Genes associated with GEMM are involved in a diverse array of functions, including chemotaxis regulation, signal transduction, secretion and chitin. The record is from RNAcentral. Lineage: Bacteria; Bacillati; Bacillota; Clostridia; Lachnospirales; Lachnospiraceae.
UUUAAAGGCAAACUUGCUGAAAGGCAGGGACGCAAAGCCAGAAGGGGCUAAAGUCAGAAAGUCUGACCAUGUCAGCCGGUUGCUG